GACGAACGCUGGCGGCGUGCCUAACACAUGCAAGUCGAGCGGGGUUGAAGCGAGGGGUAACUCGGACUUCUACCUAGCGGCGGACGGGUGAGUAACGCGUGGGCAACCUGCCUCAAGGUCUGGGAUAACAGCCCGAAAGGGCUGCUAAUACCGGGUAUGCUUGUGGCCUCGCAUGGGGCUAUGAGCAAAGGGGAAACCCGCCUUGAGAUGGGCCCGCGUCCCAUCAGCUAGUUGGUGAGGUAACAGCUCACCAAGGCGACGACGGGUAGCCGGCCUGAGAGGGUGACCGGCCACACUGGGACUGAGACACGGCCCAGACUCCUACGGGGGGCAGCAGUGGGGGAUCUUGCACAAUGGGCGAAAGCCUGAUGCAGCGACGCCGCGUGAGCGAAGAAGGCCUUCGGUUGUAAGCUCUGUCUGGAGGGACGAAGGAAGGUAGACGGUACCUCCGGAGGAAGCCACGGCUAACUACGUG
RNAcentral lists this ribosomal RNA (475 nucleotides) under uncultured bacterium. Its description in RNAcentral is "bacterial SSU rRNA". It matches the Rfam family "Bacterial small subunit ribosomal RNA", at positions 28 to 507 of the family's 1533-position model. The record is from RNAcentral.